Molecule: ribosomal RNA, 320 nt
Filed under: uncultured eukaryote
Lineage: Eukaryota
Description: partial 18S ribosomal RNA
Rfam family: Eukaryotic small subunit ribosomal RNA
Source: RNAcentral
CCCUUAGAUGUUCUGGGCUGCACGCGCGCUACACUGACAUACGCAACGAGUCUCCUGCACCGAAGGGCGUGGGUAAUCAUUUGAGUGUAUGUCGUGAUGGGGAUAGAAUAUUGUAAUUAUUACUCUUAAACGAGGAAUUCCUAGUAAGCGCAAGUCAGCAGCUUGCGCUGAUUACGUCCCUGCCCUUUGUACACACCGCCCGUCGCUCCUACCGAUGGGGUGAUCCGGUGAAUGAUUCGGACUUUUGCGCCUCUAGCUACUAGUUGCGUGGGAGGAAGUUUUGUGAACCUUAUCACUUGGAGGAAGGAGAAGUCGUAACA